This 879-nucleotide ribosomal RNA is filed under the name Burkholderia cenocepacia. RNAcentral's name for it is "bacterial LSU rRNA". It matches the Rfam family "Bacterial large subunit ribosomal RNA", at positions 1 to 919 of the family's 2925-position model. Lineage: Bacteria; Pseudomonadati; Pseudomonadota; Betaproteobacteria; Burkholderiales; Burkholderiaceae. The record is from RNAcentral.
GUUAUAGGGUCAAGCGAACAAGUGCAUGUGGUGGAUGCCUUGGCGAUCACAGGCGAUGAAGGACGCGGUAGCCUGCGAAAAGCUACGGGGAGCUGGCAAACAAGCUUUGAUCCGUAGAUGUCCGAAUGGGGAAACCCACUCCUUUUGGAGUAUCCAUGGCUGAAUACAUAGGCCAUGCGAAGCGAACGCGGUGAACUGAAACAUCUAAGUAACCGCAGGAAAAGAAAUCAACCGAGAUUCCCAAAGUAGUGGCGAGCGAAAUGGGAUGAGCCUUGCACUCUUUAUUUGUAUUGUUAGCCGAACGCUCUGGAAAGUGCGGCCAUAGCAGGUGAUAGCCCUGUAAGCGAAAACAGUAUGAAAGAACUAGGUGUGCGACAAGUAGGGCGGGACACGUGAAAUCCUGUCUGAAGAUGGGGGGACCAUCCUCCAAGGCUAAAUACUCGUGAUCGACCGAUAGUGAACCAGUACCGUGAGGGAAAGGCGAAAAGAACCCCGGGAGGGGAGUGAAAUAGAUCCUGAAACCGCAUGCAUACAAACAGUCGGAGCCUCGUAAGGGGUGACGGCGUACCUUUUGUAUAAUGGGUCAGCGACUUACGUUCAGUAGCAAGCUUAACCGUAUAGGGCAGGCGUAGCGAAAGCGAGUCCGAAUAGGGCGUUCAGUUGCUGGGCGUAGACCCGAAACCAGGUGAUCUAUCCAUGGCCAGGAUGAAGGUGCGGUAACACGUACUGGAGGUCCGAACCCACUAACGUUGAAAAGUUAGGGGAUGAGCUGUGGAUAGGGGUGAAAGGCUAAACAAACCUGGAAAUAGCUGGUUCUCUCCGAAAACUAUUUAGGUAGUGCCUCGUGUCUCACCUUCGGGGGUAGAGCACUGUCAUGGU